CCUCUUUACCUCUUUAAUAGGGGUUGGCUAAGUAGGUUUUACAUGAAUACCCCUUUUAAUAAAUUUCAAUUAGGACUCUCCUAGCUAGAGUCCUAACAGACCCGCCCUCUUCAAAUCAGCUUUGUCUUCAAGGCUGACGAUCCAUGAAUUCUGAGAAUUUAAUCUUCAAGUGGACAUAGUUCUUCUAAGUGGCAUCUUCUGCUGGUAGGUUCG
This 213-nucleotide long non-coding RNA is filed under the name Musa acuminata (dwarf banana). RNAcentral's name for it is "long non-coding RNA (MACU_LNC008029)". The record is from RNAcentral. Lineage: Eukaryota; Viridiplantae; Streptophyta; Magnoliopsida; Zingiberales; Musaceae.